GACGAACGCUGGCGGCGUGGAUUAGGCAUGCAAGUCGAACGGUAUCAUCCUUUCGGGGGUGAGAGAGUGGCGAACUGGUGAGUAACACGUAGGUUAUCUACCCUCAGGACGGGGACAACCCAGGGAAACUUGGGCUAAUACCGGAUGUGAGCAACUUUUAGUUGUUUGAAAGGUGGCGUAAGCUGUCGCUUGGGGAUGAGCCUGCGUCCUAUUAGUUAGUUGGUGAGGUAACGGCUCACCUAGGCAAUGAUAGGUAGGCGGCCUUAACGGGUGGUCGCCCACACUGGGAUUGAGAUACGGCCCAGACUCCUACGGGAGGCAGCAGUCGAGAAUAGUCUACAAUGGUCGGAAGACUGAUAGUGCGACGCCGCGUGAACGAUGAAUCCCUUCGGGGUGUAAAGUUCUUUUAUAUGUGAGCAGUGCUUCUUAUAUUAACAGUAUGGGGAGAGAGAUAUUAGCAUAUGAAUAAGCAACGGCUAACUCCGUGCCAGCAGCCGCGGUAAU
Molecule: ribosomal RNA, 504 nt
Filed under: uncultured bacterium
Lineage: Bacteria
Description: bacterial SSU rRNA
Rfam family: Bacterial small subunit ribosomal RNA
Source: RNAcentral